This is a non-coding RNA of Myotis brandtii (Brandt's bat), 75 nucleotides long. The record is from Rfam. NCBI's taxonomy places the organism in Eukaryota, Metazoa, Chordata, Mammalia, Chiroptera, Vespertilionidae.
GGAGGUUCUUGGGUGAUGCACCCUGGAAUCAGGCUCCCUCCUCUCUGGUUCUGGGUGUGUCACCUGAGAACCGCA